Mustela erminea (ermine) is the source of this 1069-nucleotide long non-coding RNA. RefSeq lists it as uncharacterized. The transcript has 3 exons. The record is from RefSeq and is a predicted model, not a curated record. NCBI's taxonomy places the organism in Eukaryota, Metazoa, Chordata, Mammalia, Carnivora, Mustelidae.
ACAUUCUGUGCCUAGCCCAUGCUCAAAGGAUCUCUGUUGGCAGUCCCAGGGAAGGCUAAAGAGGACAUUUUGUAACCUGGGUCGGCUCCGAAAGACUUGGUUAGGAGGGGCUUGGGGGCUUCAAUCUGUUGAGACUUGUCUUGAAGCCAGUUUUUCAUGGCAAUCCCUACUGUUUUACUUGGAGUAUAGCAAUAUCUGGGGUAGGUGAGGCCAACUGCCCUGCAUGACCCUCAUUCAGCCAUUGCUUUGUAGAUCAUUGAUGACAAGCCAGGAUCUCACUGUAAGUCGGAGGACCCUCUUGGUGUGCAGCUCCUACAACCACUCUGUUGAGCCAGAUGGAAGAGACACGGGGAACAGUAACCUUCAUCCUUGCUGGUUGAUGAGAAAAGCAAGGCACAGUCCACCAGAGACUCCCAGCUAUAGAAGGGAUCAACUACAAACAAGGAGAGAGAACCAAAGGACUCUCAGUGUUAGGUGUGCAUGUGAUAAAGAAAAAAAGAAGAAAAAAAGAAAACAAUUCCAAAUCAAGAAAAAAAAUCCAUUGUGCCAAUUUCUCUUCUAUCAAGAACAGAUUAAAAAAAAAAUCAAAGUCCCAUCUGUUCUGUGUCAACAUUAGAGAUUGUACAUUGUGUUUCAUCAAAAGUAGGUUUGCCACGGUGGUGGGGGUUAUAUUUUUGGAACGUGCAUAGAAACCCAGAGUAACUAAACAGAACUUGGCCCUCCAGGCCCUCUCCUGCUGUCUGUGUUUGUGUUCUUCUAGCAGUUGAUGUUUUUAAUUGAUUUAUCUGACCAGGAGGACCCUGGAAAAAGACAAGCAGGUGAAGGCAGCUGCCUGGGCUUCUGGAACAAACACAGGCCUGCUGCACACUAGAGCCUGUGCGUGGUACCGGGCGGAGAAGACACCUGAUCUGAGGAACACCAUCUCAUCAGCAUGAGAGAUCGUGGAGUACGUACCACCGUGGCAAAUUUCAAGCUACAGAUGUGACAUCACAGAAUGCAAAGCUGGGAAGAGAUACGCACCAUUGUAUAGAGUCUCCAUCACAGAUGCAGUGGAUGGAAAUAAACUCAA